This 250-nucleotide ribosomal RNA is filed under the name uncultured bacterium. RNAcentral's name for it is "partial 16S ribosomal RNA". It matches the Rfam family "Bacterial small subunit ribosomal RNA", at positions 525 to 775 of the family's 1533-position model. The record is from RNAcentral.
ACGUAGGAGGCAAGCUUUAUCCGGAUUUAUUGGGCGUAAAGGGUGCUCAGUCGGUUGAUUAAGUUUGUGGUGAAAGUUCGGGGCUCAACUCCGGAUUGCCAUGAAAACUGGUUGGCUAGAGUGCAGAAGAGGGUAGUGGAAUUCCAUGUGUAGCGGUAAAAUGCGUAGAUAUAUGGAGGAACACCAGUGGCGAAGGAGGCUACCUGGUCUGUUACUGACGAUCAAGCACGAAAGCGUGGGGAGCAAAUAG